AAUGAAAACAUGGACUCCCCAUAUUCACAGCAGAGAAGUUUUUCACAUUGAACACAGACCAGAGAAGUGUUUCCACUAAUUUAUAUCUGAUAUGUGAAGGGCUAAGAAGUCAUCACUCCCAUCUUCAUAACAAGAAAAAAAGCUGAACAAACUGGAAAUCAACAACUAUGCUUAGGUUCAUCAGAAAACUGAGGUCAUUGGCUAAAUUGCAGCCCUGGAAGACAGACACAUGGAUACAGAGAAUCAUAGCUUAACAGGAACAGAAAACUGGAAGCAGAAGGCCUUAGCUUUCUGUAGGAACACUAACUGUCAUUGGUGAAUUGCUGGAAGGUUAGUGUGGACUAGCUUGUGAGUUAAAAAAUCCAAAGGGACCCAGUCUCAGGGGCACCCCGCACUUUCAUGAGUUUUACCUCCAGGAAACCUACCAGGUUCUCAAUAUCCCCUGUGCUUCUGGCAGGGAGAGGAAAGCUCUGAAAUACAUCCAGACCUCUCUGAUCUCCUUAAAAAAGCUUGUCCCUAAGGGAAUCUAUUUUACCAGAACCUAACAGGCUGGAGUUUUACCAAAGCCUGAUCAACAAAAUAUCCAACUCAGGCUCGCUAAAAGACUGAGACUUAAUUAUGGACAGGAGAACACUUCCUCUUCUCCCACACCUUGCGACCACAUCAAUAAGGCUAUUGUAUAAUAACAGGGGAUUACAGCAAAAAGAACUGCAGGCCUCUGACCAUAUUUAAAGAGUGCCAAAGGAAACCCAAAGACAAUAGAGUAGACAAAAGCAAGGAUACUAGAGGAAAUUUUAGUCUCUGACACUAUAGCUACAGCAAAUAGUAAGCAGAAUCUAACUCCUAGUCACAUAAAUAUAAAACCUUGCACUAAAGACCUAUCUAUCACAGUUCCUUUUAUAUCAUAUCCAGCCUUCAACAAAGAAUUACAAGCCACUCUAAAAGGCAAAAACAAAGUCUGAAGAGACAAAGCAAGCAUCAGAACCAGACUCAAGUGUGGCACAGAUUUGGGAACUAUCAGACAAGGAAUUUAAAACAACUAUGAUUAAUACGCCAAUGGUUCUAAUGGAAAAAGUGGACAGUGCAAGAACAAGUGAGUAAUAAAAGCAGAGAGAUGAAAGUGCAAAGAAGGAAACAAAUGAAAAUGCAAGAAAUCAAAAACACUGUAACAUAAAUAAUGCCUUUGAUGGGCUCAUAAGUAGAUUGGACAUAGCUGAGGAAAGAAUCAGUGAGCUUAAAGAUGAGUCCACAGAAACUCCCCAAACUGAAAUGCAAAAAGAAAAAAGAAAUAAAAAGUCAGAACAGAGUAUCUAAGAACUGUGGGCUAUUAGAAAAGGUAUAUGAUACAGUUUAGAUGUUCUGCCCCCUCCAAAUUUCAUGUUGAAAUGUGAUCCCCAAUGCUAGAGGUGGGGCCUGGUAGGAGGUGUUUCGGUCAUGGGGGCAGAUGCAUCAGGGAUGGCUUAGUGCCCUCCUCAUGAUAAUGAAUGAGUUAUCAUUCUACGUUCAUGUGAGUCCUGGUUGUUUAAAAGAAUGUGGUAUCUCGUCACUUUCCCUCUCUCAGCAUGUGAUAUGCUAGCUGCCCUUUCCUUCUGCCAUGAUUGUAAGCUUCCUGAGGACCUAACCAGAAGUAGAUGGUGGCACCUUGCUUCCUGUACAGCCUGCAGAACCAUGGGCCAAAAUGAAUCUGUUUUCUUUAUACAUUAACCAGUCUCAGGUAUUCCUUUAUAGCAAUGCAAAUGGACUGACACAGAAUAACACAUGUAUAAUGGGAAUACUGGAAGGAGGAGAGAAAAAGGAACAGAAGCAACAUUUAAAGCAACAAUUACUGAGAAUGUCCCAAAAUGAAUGACAGACACAAAGCUACAGAUCUGCAAAACUCAGAGAACAUCUAGGAGGAUAAAUACCAAAAAACCUAUAUCUAGGCAUAUUAUAUUCGAAUUAUAGAAAAUCUUUUUUAAAAGCUAGAGGAAAAAGAACACCUUACCUACAGUUGCACAAGUAUAAGAUUUACACCAAACUUAUACUCAGAAACCAUAUAAGCAAGAAGAGUGUGGAGUAAAAUAUUUAUCCCGUCUUAAAAAAAAAGACUACUAACCUAAAAUUCUGUAUCCAACAGAAUUAUCCUUCAAAAGUGAAGAAGUUUGGGAAAAAUAAAAAAGUUCUGGGGGUGGAUGGUGGUGAUAGUGGUACAACAAUGUGAAUGUACUUAAUGCCACUGAACUAUACACUUAAAAGUGGUUAAAAUAGUAUAUUUUAUGUUAUAUAUAUUUUGCCACAAUUUUUUAAAGUGAAGUAGUAAAUACUAAAGACUUUCUGAGACCAACAAAAAUGGAGAAAAUUUGUCACCAGUAGACUUGCCUUGCAAGUAAUAUUUUAAAAAGUUCUUCAGAGAGAAGAAAAAUAUAUCGGCAGAAACUCAGAUCUGUAUUAAAAAAAAUGGAAGAGCAUUAGGAAAGAAAAAAAGAAGGUAAAAUAUUAAAUUUUUCUUAUUAUUUAUUGAUCUAACAGAACAGUUUGUUCAAAAUAACAAUGACAAUGCAUUCAGUGAUUAUAGCUUAUUUGUGAAUGAAAUGAAUGAUAGUCAUUUUAUAAGAGACAAGAGAGAAGAAUUGGGAAUACUGUUUUAUAUAGUACUUGUACUACCAUGAUGUGGUAUAAUAUUACUUAAAAGUGCACUUAGAUUGGUUGUAAACAUAUUCUAAAAACUCUAGGGCAACCACUAAAAAUCGUACUUAAAAAAGAAGUAUAAUUAAUAUGCCAAGAGAAGAAAAAGUAGAAUCAUAUAAAUUGCCUAAUUAAAACCAGAGAAGUGGAAGACAAAAAAGCAAAGAAAAGAGAGAAAGAAAAAAGUAAGAAUGAAUGAGCAAACAAAGGAAAGAAAUAGAAAAUAUGUACAAAUAUGAUCGCUAUUAAUCCAACUAUAUCAAUCACUUUAAAUGUGAAUAGUCUAAAUACAUCAAUUAAAAGACAAAGACUGUCAAAGUGGAUAAACAAACAAGACCCAAUUAUAACUUGUCUACUAGAAACCCACCUUAAAUAUAAAGUUACAGAUUAAUUUCACUAUGCAGGUGAAGGAAAAUGAGACUCAGAGGACUAAGGCAUCAUAUUCUUGCAGAUUUUAAGUGGCAGAGCCAGAAUCAGACUGAAGUUUAGUUAACUACAUAGUCUCUAGUCUCUCCUUCAAACUGUGUUGCCUGGAAAGGGUCUUUAUAUUUCAUGCUGUGAGAAACAGAUAAUCUCUUCCAAAGUUUACUCGUAAUACAUCAGAUUACCCUGGCCAAUUCUCUUUUUCAGUCUCAUUUUAUUUAUUUAGUUAGUUAGUUAGUCAGUUAGUUAGUUUUUGAGAUGGAGUCUCGCUCUGUCGCCCAGGCUGGAGUGCAGUGGCACGAUCUCAGCUCACUGCAAGCUGCGCCUCCCGGGUUCAUGCCAUUCUCCUGCUUCAGCUCCCGAGUAGCUGGGACUACAGGCGCCUGCCACCACGCCCGGCUAAUAUAUAUAUAUAUAUAUAUAUAUUUUAGUAGAGACAGGGCUUCGCCGUGUUAGCCAAGAUGGUUUAGUCUCAUUUUUUUUUUUUUUUUUUUUUUUUUGAGACGGAGUCUGGCUCUGUCGCCCAGGCUGGAGUGCAGUGGCGCGAUGGUUUAGACUCAUUUUUAAAAGACUUUAGUUGUUCAGAAGAGUAGAGUGAUAUAGUUGAAUAGUGGCAAAAGAACUAACUGAGGGGCAAAAAGAGGCUAUUAACAGUUAUUGAGAGACUGUAUGUACAUGACAUUCUCCUAGACCCUGGUAGAGCAUAGCGACAACACUGUCACCUCAAAUGAAGAACAUUACAAUCUAGAAAUGGAAAUCUCAACACCUUAUUUUUUUUCUAGGCCUACUAGAAAAAAUAAAAAAGUAAAUUAGUAUAAUCCACUUUUACCAAAAAUUUUCAAAAUUUUCAAAAUUCCUUGAGAAUAUUUAUAGACUUCUAAAAGUAAAACAUAAAAUUGUUUUAGACAAUUAUCCAACAUUUGAAAAUAAAGCAAAGUUUGAAUGUCUCUUCCAUGAUAAAAUGGAGCAUAGCCCAAGAAGCCAUCAAAGCAUUAUUUAAUUAUCUAUGUGGUUAUAGUUUUGUGUGACCUACUGUUUACUACUGAAUUGACCCAGCAUUAUGAAGCUGUAAAUUGACUGGUAGAUUUGUGUCUUGAAGAAAUGCAAAUUGCUUCUACCCAGAAAAGAAAAAAAAAAAGAUAAUCUCAAAGGUUAUAGUUUUAUUUUCCUACUGGAUGUUUGAUAAUUUAAUAUGUAUACUAGAAAACGAAUUCAUAUGAUUUUCCUGAGAAAAUAUACAACCUAUACAACCUACACAGCCUACUCAUCUAGUUCUCUUGAACCAGCUGUACCAUCUUGCUGGUUCUCUCAUUAAAUAAGCUAAAUCAAUCUUUGACAAAUGUUCCCUCUAUAUUUGUGUAAGAGUCAUGUUUUCAACUUUUUAAAAAAAUUAUAUUUUGACAGAUUUGAAGGUUGCCCUAAAGGUGCAUAGUGUGUUCACCUGCUAGAGCUAGUUAAGCAGAGUUGCCCAAGAAACUCCUGGGGUGAAUCACAAACAGCAAUAGAAUUUUCCCUUUCGGACUGUCAGAUUUGUCUUCUGAUUCUGUUUUUCUUUUCUUUUCUUUUUUUCUGGUUUGUUUCAUUGUCGCUCCUGAUCUUGGCCAGGAAGUUCCACAUUUGUUUAACUUAUUGUCUAGGAUUAUGUCCAUUUUCACAACUGCUACUGGAUCACAAGGUUGGGCUUAAUUAUGUAAUCAAGAGAACCCUCAUGUAUAAAACAGGUGUAUAAAACAGCCGAUUCCAGAGACUAGUAGGUACUGAAUAACUAGGUGAGUAGAGGUCACAUAAUCUAUAAAAUGUUCCCCCUUUGGAAUGACAAUAAUUAGCAAUCUGGUUUUAUGACAAGAUCACUUGGUAACCUAUAUUAGGAUGAUGAGAAUAUAUUCUUUGUUGAGUGGUAGAAGACAGAGAAUAUGGUUAGUUGUUCCAUAUUUUUUGUGUGUCUAUUUGUCUGCUUAAAUCCAUAAAGAAAACAUUCAUUUUUCACUGAAAAGGAGAAUAACCAUUGAGACUGUGUGUCUUUUGCUUGAGGUUGUGGAACUGAAUUUCAAGUCCUGUAGGUGGUUGUGUAUUUAACUGAGAAAAAAACCUUUCACCACUAUUUACCAUAUUUAGUAUUCAUAUAUGCAUAUAACUAUUUAUCAUAAUAAGAAUAUGAAGUCUUUUCUUCUAGGAUAUACCAAUAAAUUAAAUUACAAUGUGUCUUCAGUAAAAACAGCUUUUUCUAAUAUUAGAGUCUAUUAAAUACUUGUACAAAUUUAAUAGUCCCAGAAUUCUCAUAAAAUAAAGAAACUGAUCUCUAAUAUAAUGAAUGUUCUAGUCUUUUAAGGAAAAAUAAAUUUCCAGAUAAAAAUGCUGCCUCAGAAGCAUUGUUAGUAUGUAAGAAUCAAGAUGAAUCUUUAGAUAUAUAUUGGUUUGGUAAUUUUAGUUUACAAAAUUUUCCUUGUUUUGUCAUUACGAAAAAUAAACAUCAUUUAACUUAAUUUUUUUAAUUUAUAUUUCUUUUCUAAUGAAGACAUUAGUUAAUCUUAAAUUUGGUUACAACUUAUGGCUUAUAUGGGUGGUCACGGUAAAUGAAUGAGCAUGUUUGUGUUCCAAUAAAAGUAUUUACAAAAACAGGUGGGCUGGAUUUAGGUAGUGAGUCGCCAGAGUCCCAACCUGACAAGUAUGAAAAAAGAAAAAAAGGUACUUCCUGGUUAAUUUAACUCGGACUACCUUUCCUAAUGAAUUAUUUGACUUCUGUUUCUUCCUUUAACCAUCUUUUCAUCCUGAUGAUUUCCUUCAUUGAGCCAAAUAAACGUUAAGCAUAUGCUUGUUUUAUAUUUCUAUAUUUUUACUAUUUAAAAAAAAAUUUUUUUGAUAGAAUCAAAUAACAGAGGACCAGGCAUGGUGGCUCACACCUGUAAUCCGAAUACUUUUGGAGGCCGAGGCAAGCGGAUCACCUCAGGUCAGGAAUUCGAGACCAGCCUGGCCAACAUAGUGAAACUCCAUUUCGACUAAAAACACAAAAAUUAGCCAGGAGUGGUGGUGCAUACCUGUAAUCCCACCUACUGGGAAGCCUUAGGUAAGAGAAUCACGAACCUGGGAGGCAGAGGUUGCAGUGAGCCGAGACCAUGCCACUGCACUCCAGCCUGGCUGACACAGCGAGACUUUGUCUCAAAAAAAAAAAAAAAAUCAGAUAACAAAAUAACAGAGCCACAUACAAAAAUCUUAUUAGAACUGAUGCAAAUGUAGAUGGGGCCAAUACGGUAUAGACUAUGCAGAUGAUACAAAAGAGCUUAAAACUAUGAUUCUGCUGUGACAAAAGUUUCCAUCAAAUAUGUGUCCCUAAGCCUUCAACUCCUUUUUAGUCAUUAUUUAUCCACUUCUUGUCAUUGAUUAAUGAGAAUAAAAGCCACCCUAUUGCACAGGAAAAAAAUCAUACACUGAAUUUAUUAAAUACAUAAUUUAAUGCAAAUAUGAUUAAAUAAACUUUGUCUUUUCAGUGUGAAUCACAAUGAAUUCUAUGAGGAAAUAAUAGAUUUGCUCUUUAUUUUUAAUAGGUUUCUGUCUCAGAUGGUAUGCAAUUCAGCAUAUACCAAGUAUUGAAUAUUGUGAUGAUGCAGGGCUAAUAAUUUCAUGUAGCUGUUUACAUUUUAUUUUCCACAAAUACCUUAAUGAUAUCUCUGGCACCACAGGAUAUCAAUGACUAAAUUUUUAUGCUUUAUCUCUAGUCUGUAGAAAUUAAAGUGUUUAAGUUGUCCUUUGGCAUGCUACUGUUUUGAACAAUUAAAGUGUUUGAUCUAGUUUAAAUGAUGUUACAUUUAUUAAGACACACUUGCCUAAAAUAUCAAUUUCCUUUUCUAAUUUAGUAUUCUCCUAGAAUUUUACUCUAAUUAAUGUAGACAAUUUUACCUGGACAUGUGAGAGUUUGCUCUCCUUUGAAUGUGAUGUAAUUUAUCAUGUUUAUAUGUACACUGAUCCUUUUCCAGCAGAAAUAACUUAAAAAGAUAUUUAAAACAGAGAUAACAGGUGUUUUGUAUUUAUUUACACCUAUGAUGUCCUGUGACUUAACUACCCAUUGGCAGUAUCAUUUAGUGGGAAUAGCGAAGAAAGCUAAAACUUUGGUUUUAGUCUUGGUUCCACCAGUAACUUAACCUGUACUAUAACAAGUAUCUAAUCUUCCCAUGUCCCCAUUCUCCUGUCUGUUAGAUAAGAAUAUUGAGGAUCAUCUUCAAAAUUCCUUUCAGCCUGAAAAUGUCUUGGUUCUCUGAUACAGCAUGUUAGAAGUGAUAGGAAAUUUUUCAAGAUAUAGGAAAAACAAACACAUUAGUGACAAUGAAAUAUAAAGACAAGUGACAAAGAGGUGGUAAGCAUGAACACUUCCAGUGCAGUGGUUCUAUCCUACCCAAUAAUCCUAGUUUCUAAAGUGGCACAUGGAAAAGCAAUAAACAUAUGCUGAAUGAAGAAAUCGAUGAGAGAGGAAGAACAGGUACAGACAGUAUGUGGUAAUGCAGCAGAGAGUAAGUAUGGAUUCAUUUUUCUUAGGAAAAGAAGACAUCUGUCAGUCAGAUGGGUAUGGGUGAUCCAUGCCAAGAAGGACAUUCCAGUUUGAAUCUGGAAUGAGAGAAAUAAGCAAAGGCUCAGAGAUGAAAAUGUUCAUUUUGUGCUAAUAAAGUGACAAGACAACCAGGGGAGCAGGUGUUGGUAGAGGAAAAGCGGAAAGGUAAUUUGGAGGCAUUCAUGGAGGAUCUGGAAUAUUGAGCAAAGAUAACCCCGAGAGAUGCCGUGACAGUUCAUUCCAUAGACAAGCUCAACACAUUAUCCUAAACAGAGGCACUUGACAGGAGUUUUAACCCACUUCUGUGCUGCAGGUUACUGAGUGCAUUAGUCUGCUCUCAUGUUGCUAUAAAGAAAUUCCAGGGACUGGGUAAUUUGUAAAGAAAAGUGGUUUAAUUGGAUCAUGGUUCCGAAGGCUGCACAGGAAGCUGAAGCUGGUAUCUGCUCAGCUUCUGGAGAGGCCUCAGGAAACUUUCUGUCAUGGAGGAAGGCAAAAGGAGAGCUAGCAUUUCACGUGGCCAGAGCAGAAGGAAGAGAGUGGGGGAUGUGUCACAUACUUUUAAAGACCAGAUCUCAGGAGAACUCACUAAUCCAAUGACAGCAUCAAGGAGAGUGAUGUGAAACCAUGAGGAAUCACCACCAUGAUUCUAUCCCCUCCCACCAGGCCCAACCUCCACCACUGGGGAUGAAUACAGAACAUGAGACUUGGGUGGGGACACAGAUCCAAACCAUAUCACUGAUUUUGAGCUGCCCUCAAAAUAGCUUAGAGGCUUUAUUAGCAUCUCAGGCCUAUUCUUUAGUGUGGGUAAAAUGUACUAAUAACAACAAAGGAAGUUACAGAAAAAUUAAUUUGGGCUGUGUAGGGAAAUUAGAUAAAACUACAGCUUAGACUGACACCAGGCCAACUUUAUUAUGUAUAUCUCCUUCUGGAAUGGAGGCUAACUCUUCUAGUACUCAAACAACCAUUUCAUUCUCCUGAAUCCAGAGUGACAGAUUCACUCUCAGAAGGAAAUGGACUGGGAAUUCAGAAAGAGUUAAUUUGUAUAUGUGAAUCAUGGAUGCUUUCCAUUUUUCAAUCAGAGGAAAUGAAGUGCUUUUCAAAUAUAUGACCCAGAAAAACUCAGAGGGCUUGAUCUCCUAUUUCCUCCCUAUAAACCCAGUAUUACAGUUGUUAAAAUUCCCAUGACAAAUAUGUUCUUCCUCUUGUGUUUUGAGUUAUUCUCCCUUUUUGGAACAUUCUUAAAUUUCCCUGAAGUCUGUGUUUAUGCCCUUUAAAAAGAAUGAAUAUAAAAGAAGUUUGUCACAUGACUUUCAGAUGCAAUAAAACUCAUUCCCAAGUUUAAUUCCUAAACAUACUGUUUUAAAUUUAUCAUUUGUCCAUUUAAAAAUGUUUUUAAAGCAAUAUUUUCUUUUUAAAUUGUAGUCUUACAGCAGUUUAAUGAAAUUGAUCUAAUAAAAACUUAUUAAAGUAAUAGAUGGUUUGAGAAUCAUGUUUCCCUUUAGAAAAUACACACUUACAUGCAUAUAUGUACAUACUACAUAUAUACAUAGCCUGGAGCUCCAUAAUAAGGAACUGGGGUAUGGAUUCCUAAGAUGUACUUCUCUAAUUCCUCAUUCACAACUUCACCAUGAGCGAGUUUCUUAACAGCUUUAGCCAUCUUUAAUAUACUUAACCACAUUUAACAUAAUAUCCUAAUGCUAGGCUUCUUUGGAGAGAUGCGGCUAAGCUCCAUUAGUUAUAGCUUGUGGAGAGGUUGGAUGCUCUUGGAUGAAUGGUGCCAUGUGAAAUUGCAAUAUAAUUGCUACAAUUAAGAGGCCACAUUCUCUGCUUAUACAACUCACUGGGAAAUUAUUUUUGCACCAAAGGUAAUAAUUUUUAUCUUUAUCCUUAUGUAAAAGCCCUAAAUAUUUUCAAUUGCUUUUAUACCUAGGUAUCAUAAUUAACAUUAUGCCUAGUCAAAAUUAAAUAGAUCUUUCAGUUGAGCAAGUAUAACCCUGAGAAAUGCUGUGACAGUUCAUUCCAUAAAAAACUCGCCACAUUAUCCUAAACAGAAGCACUUGACAGGAGCUUUAACUCACUGCUGUGCUGCCGGUUACUAAGUGUAUUAGUCUGUUCUCACAUUACUAUAAAGAAAUACCUGAGACGGGGUAAUUUAUUUAAAAGAGUUUUGUUCAGCUCAUGGUUCUGAAGGCUAUAUAGGAAGCAUGAUGCUGGCAUCUGCUCAGCUUCUGAGGAGGCCUCAGGAAACUUAGAAUCACGGCAGAAGGUGAUGAUUUGAGCUCAUUAAGAGAUACUAUCAUACAGACAUUAUUUCUUUUCUAUUGUGGAAAUUACUAGAUUUUCAAAUAUUCAGAUAUUCUUGAAUGAUUCUUGCUCAGAAAUUUAAAUUCAACAAAUGAGUAAGAGAUUUUUUCUUUUUGAUUCAAUAUGUUUUUUGUUUUUUUUUUGUUUUGUUGUUUUGCUAAACCCCUAUGAACUUCCUGAUAUAAUGAAGACAGUGUAGUAAAUGGUAUCCCAGUCAGUUGGACACCCUAUAAAAAGACAUGAUUUGGAUUUUGGAUCUCAGAUGACUGGGGUUGAUAUGUUAUUCUUCUACUAAUUAACUCUUGGAUUUUUGUCAGUUGGAUAUGUUACUUAACAUUUUCUCUAUACCAAUUUUCUAAUCCAAAAAGUGGUAUACAUUAUGUACAUGACAAGGCAAUGCAGUUGGGAAAACUGAAUAAGAUAACAUAUGCAUGUAGCAUAAAGCUUCACUAGACAGUGCUUAAUAAAAUUUAGUUAUCUCCUCUACUUUUAAAUUGACAUAAAUAGGUCAAAGGGUACAAAGUUGCAGCUCUGUUGGAUAAAUAGUUCUAGGAAUCUAAUGCACAGCAUGAGGACUAUAGUUAAUAAUAUUGUAUUGCAUUCUGAAAAUUUACUGAGAGUAGGUUUUAGGUGCUACUACCCCAAAAAGAGAAUGUAAAAGUUAACUAUGUGAGAUAAUAUAUAUGUUAAUUCAUCUGACUGUAGUAACCAGUAACCAUUUCCCUAUGUAUAUCAAAACAUUAUGCUGUGUAAAUAAAUACAUAGAAUAUAUAUCAUAAAAUGGCUUUUUUUUUUUUUUUUUUGAGACGGAGUCUCGCUCUGUCGCCCAGGCUGGAGUGCAGUGGCACGAUCUCAGCUCACUGCAAGCUCCGCCUCCCAGGUUCACGCCAUUCUCCUGCCUCAGCCUCCCAAGUAGCUGGGGCUACAGACGCCUGCCACCUGGCUAAUUUUUGUAUUUUUAGUAGAGAUGAGGUUUCACCAUGUUAGCCACAGUGGUCUCGAUCUCCUGACCUCGUGAUCCAUCCACCUCGGCCUCCCAAAGUGCUGGGAUUACAGGCGUGAGCCACCACACCCGGCCUAAUUUUUUAAAAUGUCUUCCACAUUCAAGGAUGUUGAAAUAUAAUGUAAUUAAGUAGGUUAAUUAAACUGACAAUUUGUUUUCAGUAAUGAUCUGGUUGUUCUCUUGUUCAAAAUGAUUAUUUAUAUAUGGUUUUAGCAUACAAAACCUGCCCAAUACACAUUACCUAAUUUUUAUUUUAAAAAAGUUAUUUCAAUGUAAAUAUCACUGAUAUUAUAUGUAUUACUCUGAAAAAUUACAUAUGUGCAUUGAAAACUGUGUCGAUAAAUGCAUAAGUUAUGAUUUCCAAGCCACAGUGAAAAUAUACCCUAAAGACAGACAGAGGAAUCAGAGAUUUCUAGUGCUAAAAGAAACCAUAGUUAAUUUUGGAGUCAGAGUACUGCGUUCUAUGAUACAUAUGUGGACACAAGCUUGAUGACUUGGCCAAAAUUGUAUCACCACUUAGUGCUAGAAAUGGGACAAAUAUCUUGAUGUUCUGAUUCUAAUUCCCUUUUUUCCGCAAUACUAAAUAAUAGGAAAAUAUUUUUAUUAUGGUCUGGUCAGUGUAGAAUUGGCCUUUCAUAUUCUAUGAACAUUUUCUGAUGACAGUUUAGGACUGGAUUAAAAAAAGAAUAAUCUUUCAAGAAAGAAGCAAUUCUACAACUGAAGUUAAACAGAGACUGACCUGCAUGAGCAUUCAUGAAUGAUUCUACCCUAUUAUAUUGGAUAUUGUAGUCACUUGGGUGUAAAAUCAACAAAUAUUUGCAAGCAAGGGUCACUCGCACAUUUUGCUGAUACAGAAAUACAACCAUAGAGGUGCUACAGUUACCUAAAAGUCAUGCACUAAUUCAAAAAAAUAUUUCUGAUUUCUAUUCCUAUUGUCCUGUAUUCCUUAUAUCUGAUAAUGACUAUGGCCAGAUUAAAUAGUUUGCAAAUAGCUGUUCUCUCCUACCACAGAUUAGCAUAAAUUUGAUGUUAAUUCAUCACUUCUAGCUUUGAAGGACCACAAAUGAGGGUGAUAAAAGCAGAUGCCUAGCAUAUGGCAACAGAUGGGUCACCACAUUUAAGGAAAGCUACUGGGAAUAGCUUGGUUUACUUUUCUCAGUUCUUACUACAAAAGGUGAAAAGAAUGAAGAAGGAAACAAUCUAGGCAAUGCAGACUUAAUUGACUCCUAAUUGUCCUUCAGUUUUAAAAUGUGCUAUUAAAAUAUACAACUUGUAGUUUGCUAGUAUGUUUCAUGUCAUAGUGUUGUCCAUAGCCAGGUAGAAAUAUUCAUAAAAAAGGAGUCAACCAACUAUAGGUAGGAUUGUACAGUACUCACUGGCAAAAUAUGUUUGCUGGUGGCCAGAAUUAUUGAAGCAGAUGGCACAUGAUGAGCUCAUCAGGACAUGUCCAGACGCCCAGCUUUGUAAUACCAAGUUUUAUUAUUCUUGCUCAGAUGCUGCCCUAUCCUAAUAUUACACUUAAAAUUUUACCUAUGAAGCAUUUACAAUUUUAUACUAAAUUAUACAUGCUUUUAUUGUAAACUAGAAAUAAAAAUGAUGCUUAUGUUAAAACUUUGAUUCAAUACCCAUAAAACACUGCAGAGAUAUCUUAAGAUCAAAUGCUUGCCCCAUGAACUAGCAUCUAAAUUACCGUUCAUUUUUAGGGAAAAUUUCAUUAUCUAUUUGAAGUUGGUUCCAUAAAUAUAAUUCAUAAACUCAGAA
This 12695-nucleotide long non-coding RNA is filed under the name Homo sapiens (human). Its description in RNAcentral is "non-protein coding LURAP1L-AS1:3". Lineage: Eukaryota; Metazoa; Chordata; Mammalia; Primates; Hominidae. The record is from RNAcentral.